Molecule: ribosomal RNA, 983 nt
Filed under: soil metagenome
Description: bacterial SSU rRNA
Rfam family: Bacterial small subunit ribosomal RNA
Source: RNAcentral
ACGGAGGAUCCGAGCGUUAUCCGGAAUUAUUGGGUUUAAAGGGUGCGUAGGCGGCACUUUAAGUCAGGGGUGAAAUACAGCGGCUCAACCGUUGCAGUGCCCUUGAUACUGAAGUGCUUGAAUUCGGACGAAGGAGGCGGAACGGGACAAGUAGCGGUGAAAUGCAUAGAUAUGUCCCAGAACCCCGAUUGCGAAGGCAGCUUCCUAGGCCGAUAUUGACGCUGAUGCACGAAAGCGUGGGGAUCGAACAGGAUUAGAUACCCUGGUAGUCCACGCCCUAAACGAUGAUGACUCGAUGUUUGCGAUAUAUUGUAAGCGUCCAAGCGAAAGCGUUAAGUCAUCCACCUGGGGAGUACGAUCGCAAGAUUGAAACUCAAAGGAAUUGACGGGGGCCCGCACAAGCGGAGGAGCAUGUGGUUUAAUUCGAUGAUACGCGAGGAACCUUACCCGGGCUUGAAAGUUAGCGGCGGUUGCAGAGACGCAACUUCCCUUCGGGGCGCGAAACUAGGUGCUGCAUGGCUGUCGUCAGCUCGUGCCGUGAGGUGUUGGGUUAAGUCCCGCAACGAGCGCAACCCCUAUGUUUAGUUGCCAGCACGUUAAGGUGGGGACUCUAAACAGACUGCCGGCGUAAGCCGUGAGGAAGGUGGGGACGACGUCAAGUCAUCAUGGCCCUUACGUCCGGGGCUACACACGUGCUACAAUGGGCGGUACAGCGGGAAGCUACCUGGCAACAGGAUGCGGAUCUCGAAAAGCCGUCCACAGUUCGGAUCGGGGCCUGCAACUCGGCCCCGUGAAGCUGGAUUCGCUAGUAAUCGCGUAUCAGCAAUGACGCGGUGAAUACGUUCCCGGGCCUUGUACACACCGCCCGUCAAGCCAUGAAAGCUGGGGGUGCCUAAAGCAUGUAGCCGCAAGGAGCGUGUUAGGGCAAUACCGGUAAUUGGGGCUAAGUCGUAACAAGGUAGCCGUACCGGAAGGUGCGGCUG